CAAUAGCGUAUAUUAAAGUUGUUGCGGUUAAAAAGCUCGUAGUUGGAUUUCUGGCCGAGUGUCCGCCAGCAUGACGUUUGGUCCUGGGCGCUCUGCCAUCCUUCUGUCAACCUUCGCCUCGUUCAUUCGUGGCUUUGGGCUCGAGAUAUUUUAUCCCUUGAGAAAAUUAGAGUGUUUCAGGCAGGCUUUCGCCGGAAUACAUUAGCAUGGAAUAAUGGAAAAGGACUUCAACCUCUUCUGUUGGUCUGAGAGGCUGUAGUAAUGAUUAAUAGGGAUAGUUGGGGGCAUUAGUACUUAACUGUCAGAGGUGAAAUUCUCCGAUUUGUUAAAGACUAACUUAUGCGAAAGCAUUUGCCAAGGAUGUUUUUCAUUAAUCAAGAACGAAAGUUAGGGGAUCAAAGACGAUCAGAU
RNAcentral lists this ribosomal RNA (411 nucleotides) under uncultured eukaryote. RNAcentral's name for it is "bacterial SSU rRNA". It matches the Rfam family "Eukaryotic small subunit ribosomal RNA", at positions 592 to 1013 of the family's 1831-position model. The record is from RNAcentral.